CAGCCGCCGCGGUAAGACGAACCGUGCGAACGUUAUUCGGAAUCACUGGGCUUAAAGCGCGUGUAGGCGGAUGGGAGCGUCGGCCUCUGAAAUCCCCCGGCUCAACCGGGGAAGUGGAGCCGAAACGACCCGUCUGGAGGGACGUAGUGGGACCUGGAACUUCCGGUGGAGCGGUGAAAUGCGUUGAGAUCGGAAGGAACGCCCGUGGCGAAAGCGAGGUCCUGGACGUCUGCUGACGCUGAGACGCGAAAGCCAGGGGAGCGAACGGGAUUAGAUACCCGAGUAGUCCCUGUCUCUUAUA
Molecule: ribosomal RNA, 301 nt
Filed under: uncultured bacterium
Lineage: Bacteria
Description: partial 16S ribosomal RNA
Rfam family: Bacterial small subunit ribosomal RNA
Source: RNAcentral